AAUAGCUCACUAGUCGAGUCGGCCUGCGCGGAAGAUGUAACGGGGCUCAAACUGGAUACCGAAGCUGCGGCUGCAUACUAUGUAUGCGGGGUAGGGGAGCGUUGUGUAAGUCUGUGAAGGUGUGUUGAGAAGCAUGCUGGAGAUAUCACAAGUGCGAAUGCUGACGUGAGUAACGAUAAUGGGAGUGAAAAACUCCCACGCCGAAAGACCAAGGUUUCCUGCGCAACGCUAAUCGGCGCAGGGUGAGUCGGCCCCUAAGGCGAGGCAGAAAUGCGUAGCUGAUGGGAAACAGGUUAAUAUUCCUGUACUUCUUAUAACUGCGAUGGAGAGACGGAGAAGGCUAUGCCUACCGGGCGUUGGUUGUCCCGGGGAAAGGCUGUAGGCUGAGGUGUUAGGCAAAUCCGGCACCUUAAGGCUGAGAGUCGAGACCACUGGUCCUUUGUGACCGGGAAGUGGUUGAUGCCAUGCUUCCAGGAAAAUCUUCUAAGCUUCAGGUUAUAAGGAACCGUACCCCAAACCGACACAGGUGGUUGGGAUGAGUAUUCUAAGGCGCUUGAGAGAACUCGGGUGAAGGAACUAGGCAAAGUGGUACCGUAACUUCGGGAGAAGGUACGCCGCUGACGGUGAUGAGACUUGCUCUCUGAGCUAUCGGCGGUCGCAGUGAAAAGGCCCCUGCAACUGUUUAUUAAAAACACAGCACUCUGCAAACGCGUAAGCGGACGUAUAGGGUGUGACGCCUGCCCGGUGCCGGAAGGUUAAUUGAUGGGGUUAGCUUCGGCGAAGCUCUUGAUCGAAGCCCCGGUAAACGGCGGCCGUAACUAUAACGGUCCUAAGGUAGCGAAAUUCCUUGUCGGGUAAGUUCCGACCUGCACGAAUGGCGUAAUGAUGGGGGCGCUGUCUCCACCCGAGACUCAGUGAAAUCGAAAUCGCAGUGAAGAUGCUGUGUACCCGCGGCUAGACGGAAAGACCCCGUGAACCUUUACUAUAGCUUCACAGUGGACUUUGACUUUACUUGUGUAGGAUAGCUGGGAGGCUUUGAAGCAGUGGCGCUAGCCAUUGUGGAGCCAACCUUGAAAUACCAGCCUGGUAACGUUGAGGUUCUAACUCAGGCCCAUUAUCUGGGCCGAGGACAUUGUGUGGUGGGUAGUUUGACUGGGGCGGUCUCCUCCCAAAGAGUAACGGAGGAGCACGAAGGUGCGCUAAUCAUGGUCGGAAAUCAUGAGGUUAGUGUAAAGGCACAAGCGCGCUUGACUGCGAGUCUGACAAGACGAGCAGGUACGAAAGUAGGUCUUAGUGAUCCGGUGGUUCUGAAUGGAAGGGCCAUCGCUCAACGGAUAAAAGGUACUCCGGGGAUAACAGG
RNAcentral lists this ribosomal RNA (1360 nucleotides) under seawater metagenome. Its description in RNAcentral is "bacterial LSU rRNA". It matches the Rfam family "Bacterial large subunit ribosomal RNA", at positions 1136 to 2481 of the family's 2925-position model. The record is from RNAcentral.